AGUGAACGCUGGCGGCAGGCCUAACACAUGCAAGUCGAGCGGCAGCGCGGGGCAACCUGGCGGCGAGCGGCGGACGGGUGAGGAAUGCAUCGGAAUCUACCCUGUCGUGGGGGAUAACGUAGGGAAACUUACGCUAAUACCGCAUACGACCGAGAGGUGAAAGUGGGGGACUGCAAGGCCUCACGCGAUUGGAUGAGCCGAUGCCGGAUUAGCUAGUUGGUAGGGUAAAGGCCUACCAAGGCAACGAUCCGUAGCUGGUCUGAGAGGAUGAUCAGCCACACUGGGACUGAGACACGGCCCAGACUCCUACGGGAGGCAGCAGUGGGGAAUAUUGGACAAUGGGCGCAAGCCUGAUCCAGCCAUGCCGCGUGUGUGAAGAAGGCCUUCGGGUUGUAAAGCACUUUUGUUCGGGAAGAAAUCGUGCGGAUUAACACUUCGUACGGAUGACGGUACCGAAAGAAUAAGCACCGGCUAACUUCGUGCCAGCCGCCGCAGU
Molecule: ribosomal RNA, 496 nt
Filed under: uncultured bacterium
Lineage: Bacteria
Description: bacterial SSU rRNA
Rfam family: Bacterial small subunit ribosomal RNA
Source: RNAcentral